RNAcentral lists this ribosomal RNA (292 nucleotides) under uncultured bacterium. RNAcentral describes it as "partial 16S ribosomal RNA". The record is from RNAcentral.
GGACUACAGGGGUAUCUAAUCCUGUUUGCUCCCCACGCUUUCGCACCUCAGCGUCAGUAUCUGCCCAGAUCGCCGCCUUCGCCACUGGUGUUCCUCCCGAUAUCUACGAAUUUCACCUCUACACCGGGAAUUCCGCGAUCCUCUUCAGUACUCAAGCCUUGCAGUUUCCGAUGCACUUCCUCAGUUGAGCUGAGGGAUUUCACGUCAGACUUGCAAAGCCGCCUACGUGCGCUUUACGCCCAAUGAUUCCGAGCAACGUUUGCACCCUUCGUAUUACCGCGGCUGCUGGCAC